Molecule: ribosomal RNA, 645 nt
Filed under: uncultured Alphaproteobacteria bacterium
Lineage: Bacteria; Pseudomonadati; Pseudomonadota; Alphaproteobacteria
Description: bacterial SSU rRNA
Rfam family: Bacterial small subunit ribosomal RNA
Source: RNAcentral
UCAUUACUGACACUGAGGAACGAAAGCAUGGGUAGCGAAGAGGAUUAGAUACCCUCGUAGUCCAUGCCGUAAACGAUGUGUGUUAGACGUUGGAAAUUUAUUUUCAGUGUCGCAGCGAAAGCGAUAAACACACCGCCUGGGGAGUACGACCGCAAGGUUAAAACUCAAAUGAAUUGACGGGGACCCGCACAAGUAGUGGAGCAUGUGGUUUAAUUCGAAGAUACGCGCAGAACCUUACCAACACUUGACAUGUUCGUCGCGACUCUAAGAGAUUAGAGUUUUCGGUUCGGCCGGACGAAACACAGGUGCUGCAUGGCUGUCGUCAGCUCGUGUCGUGAGAUGUUGGGUUAAGUCCCGCAACGAGCGCAACCCUCACUUUUAGUUGCCAUCAUUAAGUUGGGCACUCUGAAAGAACUGCCAGUGAUAAGCUGGAGGAAGGUGGGGAUGACGUCAAGUCCUCAUGGCCCUUACGUGUUGGGCUACACACGUGCUACAAUGGUAUCUACAACAGGAAGCAAGACUGCGAAGUUAAGCAAAUCCUUAAAAGAUACCUCAGUUCGGAUUGCACUCUGCAACUCGAGUGCAUGAAGUUGGAAUUACUAGUAAUCGUGGAUCAGCGUGCCACGGUGAAUGCGUUCCCGGGUC